GUUGUGGCUCAGUGGUAGAGUGCUUGCCUUGCAUGUGUGGAACAUUGGGUUCGAUCCUCAGCACCACA
This 68-nucleotide transfer RNA is filed under the name Marmota monax (woodchuck). RNAcentral describes it as "tRNA.Ala". The record is from RNAcentral. Lineage: Eukaryota; Metazoa; Chordata; Mammalia; Rodentia; Sciuridae.